This is a long non-coding RNA of Macrobrachium nipponense, 777 nucleotides long. RefSeq lists it as uncharacterized. The transcript is spliced from 2 exons. The record is from RefSeq and is a predicted model, not a curated record. NCBI's taxonomy places the organism in Eukaryota, Metazoa, Arthropoda, Malacostraca, Decapoda, Palaemonidae.
CAGAAUCGACAGCGAAGUCCCAGGAUAAAUAACUCCAUUCCAAAGGAUAAGAUCAAGAUACGAAUCAUGAUUUCAAAGGUCACCAUCAUUUUGCUGGGAUGUGCCACAGUCCUUUCAGCCCUUCACUUAGGCUCAGUGACCCUGGAACCGUCGGCGACUACUACCACAAUGCCUGAAGGAGGAGAAGAAGUCGUGGAUUUCGCUACUCAACCGUGGCCCAUGGCGGAUAACGGAGAUGUCGUUCUCGAGAGUAACGUCACAGGAUCUGAUGCUGUACCUUCAUUUAAUGUCACAGGAUCUGAUGCCGACCCUUCAUUUAAUAACACAGGAUCUGUCGAAUCAAGAUUUAGAUUUUGUCUUUUGCUUUGUUUUGGAGGUAAAUAACCAUCACCCAAAUACUCUUUGCCAUUAGCGCCAAAGCGCAUCAAGUAUUUCCAGGAACCAGGAGACUGGAAUUGCACCUCUGUUUCUCAAGACGGGAAUUUGAUUUCACGCUCCGGGGAUUUAUUUAAGGAAUGGGAAUUCAUCACCAUACUUGCUUUCUUGGACGGUGACUAUAUGGAUGUCACAAUCCGACUGCCAUGUAUUUGAAACUCUUCUCUAUUCACCCUUUUAGGCCUGUGCCAAUUUCAUGCUUAUAGGAAAAUCGUAUACUAGGCAAAUAGCAGGUGUCAUCUCUCUAGAUUUUCUUUCACUUCUUCAUUGUUUGGAGUGGUGUGGAUAUGUUGAAAGACUGUAUGUAAAAGGCAAUAAACAUUAUAAUAAAACCAUAAAAAA